AUUGAACGCUGGCGGCAUGCCUUACUCAUGCAAGCCGAACGGCAGCACGGGAGCAAUCCUGGUGGCGAGUGGCGAACGGGUGAGUAAUAUAUCGGAACGUGCCCAGUCGUGGGGGAUAACGCAGCGAAAGCUGUGCUAAUACCGCAUACGAUCUACGGAUGAAAGCGGGGGAUCGCAAGACCUCGCGCGAUUGGAGCGGCCGAUAUCAGAUUAGCUAGUUGGUGAGGUAAAGGCUCACCAAGGCGACGAUCUGUAGCUGGUCUGAGAGGACGACCAGCCACACUGGAACUGAGACACGGUCCAGACUCCUACGGGAGGCAGCAGUGGGGAAUUUUGGACAAUGGGCGAAAGCCUGAUCCAGCAAUGCCGCGUGCAGGAUGAAGGCCUUCGGGUUGUAAACUGCUUUUGUACGGAACGAAACGGUGAGCUCUAAUACAGUUUGCUAAUGACGGUACCGUAAGAAUAAGCACCGGCUAACUACGUGCCAGCCGCCGCGGUAA
This 500-nucleotide ribosomal RNA is filed under the name uncultured bacterium. Its description in RNAcentral is "partial 16S ribosomal RNA". It matches the Rfam family "Bacterial small subunit ribosomal RNA", at positions 30 to 523 of the family's 1533-position model. The record is from RNAcentral.